RNAcentral lists this ribosomal RNA (254 nucleotides) under uncultured bacterium. Its description in RNAcentral is "partial 16S ribosomal RNA". It matches the Rfam family "Bacterial small subunit ribosomal RNA", at positions 524 to 776 of the family's 1533-position model. The record is from RNAcentral.
UACGGAGGGUGCGAGCGUUGUCCGGAAUCACUGGGCGUAAAGGGCGCGUAGGUGGCUGGGGAAGUCGGCGGUGAAAGCCCGGAGCUCAACUCCGGGUCGGCCGUCGAGACUCCUCGGCUCGAGCUCACUAGAGGCAGAUGGAAUUCCGGGUGUAGAGGUGAAAUUCGUAGAUAUUCGGAAGAACACCAGUGGCGAAGGCGACUUACUGGACACAUAUUGACGCUGAGGUGCGAAAGCGUGGGGGAGCAAACAGG